Molecule: transfer RNA, 88 nt
Filed under: Xylaria castorea
Lineage: Eukaryota; Fungi; Ascomycota; Sordariomycetes; Xylariales; Xylariaceae
Also listed under: 3 other names
Description: tRNA-Lys
Rfam family: tRNA
About the family: Transfer RNA (tRNA) molecules are approximately 80 nucleotides in length. Their secondary structure includes four short double-helical elements and three loops (D, anti-codon, and T loops). Further hydrogen bonds mediate the characteristic L-shaped molecular structure. tRNAs have two regions of fundamental functional importance: the anti-codon, which is responsible for specific mRNA codon recognition, and the 3' end, to which the tRNAs corresponding amino acid is attached (by aminoacyl-tRNA synthetases). tRNAs cope with the degeneracy of the genetic code in two manners: having more than one tRNA (with a specific anti-codon) for a particular amino acid; and 'wobble' base-pairing, i.e. permitting non-standard base-pairing at the 3rd anti-codon position.
Source: RNAcentral
GCCCUGGUAGCUCAAUUGGUUAGAGCGUCGGACUUUUACCAAGGUAUAUGUCAUCCGAAGGCUGCGGGUUCGACCCCCGCCUGGGGCG